Molecule: ribosomal RNA, 395 nt
Filed under: uncultured bacterium
Lineage: Bacteria
Description: bacterial SSU rRNA
Rfam family: Bacterial small subunit ribosomal RNA
Source: RNAcentral
GAGCGCCCCGCAAGGGGAGCGGCAGACGGGAGAGUAACACGUGGGAACGUGCCCUUUGGUUCGGAACAACCCAGGGAAACUUGGGCUAAUACCGGAUAAGCCCUUACGGGGAAAGAUUCAUCGCCGAAGGAUCGGCCCGCGUCUGAUUAGCUAGUUGGUGGGGUAAUGGCCCACCAAGGCGACGAUCAGUAGCUGGUCUGAGAGGAUGAUCAGCCUCACUGGGACUGAGACACGGCCCAGACUCCUACGGGAGGCAGCAGUGGGGAAUAUUGGACAAUGGGCGCAAGCCUGAUCCAGCCAUGCCGCGUGGGUGAUGAAGGCCCUAGGGUUGUAAAGCCCUUUCGGCGGGGAAGAUAAUGACGGUACCCGCAGAAGAAGCCCCGGCUAACUUCGUG